RNAcentral lists this ribosomal RNA (562 nucleotides) under uncultured bacterium. RNAcentral describes it as "bacterial SSU rRNA". It matches the Rfam family "Bacterial small subunit ribosomal RNA", at positions 338 to 916 of the family's 1533-position model. The record is from RNAcentral.
CCUACGGGAGGCAGCAGUGGGGAAUCUUGCGCAAUGGGCGAAAGCCUGACGCAGCAACGCCGCGUGCGGGAUGAAGGCCUUCGGGUUGUAAACCGCUUUUAACAGGAACGAAAAUGACGGUACCUGUAGAAUAAGGUGCGGCCAACUACGUGCCAGCAGCCGCGGUGACACGUAGGCACCAAGCGUUGUCCGGAUUUAUUGGGCGUAAAGAGCUCGUAGGCGGUUCAGUAAGUCGGGUGUGAAAACUCUGGGCUUAACCCAGAGACGCCACUCGAUACUAUUGUGACUAGAGUUCGGUAGGGGGGCGGGGAAUUCCUAGUGUAGCGGUGAAAUGCGCAGAUAUUAGGAGGAACACCGGUGGCGAAGGCGCCGCUCUGGGCCGAUACUGACGCUGAGGAGCGAAAGCGUGGGUAGCAAACAGGAUUAGAUACCCUGGUAGUCCACGCCGUAAACGGUGGGCACUAGGUGUGGGGCUCCAACCAACGGAGUCCGCGCCGUCGCUAACGCAUUAAGUGCCCCGCUGGGGAUACGGCCGCAAGGUUAAACUCAAAUGAAUUGACGG